UAGAAACUUCCAGGGUUCACUAGGUGGUGCUAAAGUCAAUUCAAAGAAGGAAACAGGUGUUCAAUCUGAUGAUAAAAAGAUUGACAAAAGAAAAUGGGCUUUGGAGGUACUUGCAAGAAAAAAAGCUGCUACUUGUACAAAUGUGACACAUGAAAGACAGGAAGACAGUGCAAUACUUAAAGGAAAUUACCCCUUACUAGCUCAAUUGCCAAAAGACAUGAGACCAGUAUUGGCCCCUAGCCG
RNAcentral lists this unclassified non-coding RNA (243 nucleotides) under Hevea brasiliensis (rubber tree). The record is from RNAcentral. Lineage: Eukaryota; Viridiplantae; Streptophyta; Magnoliopsida; Malpighiales; Euphorbiaceae.